UACGUAGGUGGCAAGCGUUGUCCGGAUUUACUGGGCGUAAAGAGCGCGCAGGCGGUCGUUCAAGUCGCGUGUGAAAGCCCCCGGCUCAACUGGGGAGGGUCACGCGAUACUGAUCGACUCGAAGGCAGGAGAGGGAAGUGGAGUUCCCGGUGUAGUGGUGAAAUUCGUAGAUAUCGGGAGGAACACCGGUGGCGAAGGCGGCGACCUGGGUCGACACUGACGCUGAGGCGCGAAAGCGUGGGGAGCAAACAGG
RNAcentral lists this ribosomal RNA (253 nucleotides) under uncultured bacterium. RNAcentral describes it as "partial 16S ribosomal RNA". It matches the Rfam family "Bacterial small subunit ribosomal RNA", at positions 524 to 776 of the family's 1533-position model. The record is from RNAcentral.